This 496-nucleotide ribosomal RNA is filed under the name uncultured bacterium. Its description in RNAcentral is "partial 16S ribosomal RNA". It matches the Rfam family "Bacterial small subunit ribosomal RNA", at positions 29 to 507 of the family's 1533-position model. The record is from RNAcentral.
AUGAACGCUGGCGGCGUGCCUAAUACAUGCAAGUCGAGCGAACAGACGAGGAGCUUGCUCCUCUGACGUUAUCGGCGGACGGGUGAGUAACACGUGGAUAACCUACCUAUAAGACUGGGAUAACUUCGGGAAACCGGAGCUAAUACCGGAUAAUAUAUUGAACCGCAUGGUUCAAUAGUGAAAGACGGUUUUGCUGUCACUUAUAGAUGGAUCCGCGCCGCAUUAGCUAGUUGGUAAGGUAACGGCUUACUAAGGCAACGAUGCGUAGCCGACCUGAUAGGGGGAUCGGCCACACUGGAACUGAGACACGGUCCAGACUCCUACGGGAGGCAGCAGUAGGGAAUCUUCCGCAAUGGGCGAAAGCCUGACGGAGCAACGCCGCGUGAGUGAUGAAGGUCUUCGGAUCGUAAAACUCUGUUAUUAGGGAAGAACAAAUGUGUAAGUAACUAUGCACGUCUUGACGGUACCUAAUCAGAAAGCCACGGCUAACUACGUG